This 1245-nucleotide ribosomal RNA is filed under the name Levilactobacillus brevis. RNAcentral's name for it is "bacterial SSU rRNA". It matches the Rfam family "Bacterial small subunit ribosomal RNA", at positions 95 to 1327 of the family's 1533-position model. The record is from RNAcentral. Lineage: Bacteria; Bacillati; Bacillota; Bacilli; Lactobacillales; Lactobacillaceae.
GUGGCGAACUGGUGAGUAACACGUGGGAAAUCUGCCCAGAAGCAGGGGAUAACACUUGGAAACAGGUGCUAAUACCGUAUAACAACAAAAUCCGCAUGGAUUUUGUUUGAAAGGUGGCUUCGGCUAUCACUUCUGGAUGAUCCCGCGGCGUAUUAGUUAGUUGGUGAGGUAAAGGCCCACCAAGACGAUGAUACGUAGCCGACCUGAGAGGGUAAUCGGCCACAUUGGGACUGAGACACGGCCCAAACUCCUACGGGAGGCAGCAGUAGGGAAUCUUCCACAAUGGACGAAAGUCUGAUGGAGCAAUGCCGCGUGAGUGAAGAAGGGUUUCGGCUCGUAAAACUCUGUUGUUAAAGAAGAACACCUUUGAGAGUAACUGUUCAAGGGUUGACGGUAUUUAACCAGAAAGCCACGGCUAACUACGUGCCAGCAGCCGCGGUAAUACGUAGGUGGCAAGCGUUGUCCGGAUUUAUUGGGCGUAAAGCGAGCGCAGGCGGUUUUUUAAGUCUGAUGUGAAAGCCUUCGGCUUAACCGGAGAAGUGCAUCGGAAACUGGGAGACUUGAGUGCAGAAGAGGACAGUGGAACUCCAUGUGUAGCGGUGGAAUGCGUAGAUAUAUGGAAGAACACCAGUGGCGAAGGCGGCUGUCUAGUCUGUAACUGACGCUGAGGCUCGAAAGCAUGGGUAGCGAACAGGAUUAGAUACCCUGGUAGUCCAUGCCGUAAACGAUGAGUGCUAAGUGUUGGAGGGUUUCCGCCCUUCAGUGCUGCAGCUAACGCAUUAAGCACUCCGCCUGGGGAGUACGACCGCAAGGUUGAAACUCAAAGGAAUUGACGGGGGCCCGCACAAGCGGUGGAGCAUGUGGUUUAAUUCGAAGCUACGCGAAGAACCUUACCAGGUCUUGACAUCUUCUGCCAAUCUUAGAGAUAAGACGUUCCCUUCGGGGACAGAAUGACAGGUGGUGCAUGGUUGUCGUCAGCUCGUGUCGUGAGAUGUUGGGUUAAGUCCCGCAACGAGCGCAACCCUUAUUAUCAGUUGCCAGCAUUCAGUUGGGCACUCUGGUGAGACUGCCGGUGACAAACCGGAGGAAGGUGGGGAUGACGUCAAAUCAUCAUGCCCCUUAUGACCUGGGCUACACACGUGCUACAAUGGACGGUACAACGAGUUGCGAAGUCGUGAGGCUAAGCUAAUCUCUUAAAGCCGUUCUCAGUUCGGAUUGUAGGCUGCAACUCGCCUACAUGAAGUU